UACGAAGGGAGCUAGCGUUGUUCGGAAUCACUGGGCGUAAAGCGCACGUAGGCGGAUUUGUCAGUCAGGGGUGAAAUCCCGGGGCUCAACCUCGGAACUGCCUUUGAUACAGCAAGUCUUGAGUUCGAGAGAGGUGGGUGGAAGUUCCUAGUGUAGAGGUGAAAUUCGUAGAUAUUCGCAAGAACACCAGUGGCGAAGGCGGCUCACUGGCCCCGAUACUGACGCUGAGGCACGAAAGCGUGGGGAGCAAACAGG
RNAcentral lists this ribosomal RNA (255 nucleotides) under uncultured bacterium. Its description in RNAcentral is "partial 16S ribosomal RNA". It matches the Rfam family "Bacterial small subunit ribosomal RNA", at positions 524 to 776 of the family's 1533-position model. The record is from RNAcentral.